This 4662-nucleotide long non-coding RNA is filed under the name Sus scrofa (pig). Its description in RNAcentral is "lncRNA (ENSSSCG00015012820.1)". The record is from RNAcentral. Lineage: Eukaryota; Metazoa; Chordata; Mammalia; Artiodactyla; Suidae.
GCUUGAUAGAGCUGCCUGGACAGGUGAUGGGAUUGGAUAUUGCCGCCCCACGUUCUCUGCCAGGGCAAGGCUGGAUUGAUUGCAUUAUUUAGAGUAAGCAAAACCCCCAAAAGCGAAGUGCUUGACUUUCAGGCUUUUCCUUCCAAAGGGGAGAGCUGAUGGCAGUUUAAUUUAAAAAGGGAGGCGGGGGUGACAAUGGAAUAUUCAAUCCAUGGUCAAUUCUCUGUUCUACAGGAUUUCAUUUUUGCUUACUUUCCAUGCAGUUGCAUUCAUUCAUGAUGUCUAGCACACGCUCUUGCCAGGAUGGCUGUGUGGAGGCUGGUGACAUUUGUAAGAAGGAGCAGCUGGAGGCUAAGGCAGCCGUGGUUUUUAACUAGCACUCAGUGGAACUGGAGGUUUUCUAGGAGGUUAGCAGAGAAGGCUGGAAACUAAUUUCAGAAGGUCUGAUAUUUUAUUUUUCUAGUCCUUUAUUUUUGUUUCUAACAAGACUUAGCAUUAGAAAGAUCUAAAUGUUAGGUUAACUAAUGUAUAGGGGGAACCCAGAUUGUCAUAACAAAAAAAUAUAAACUGAGGAGUUCCUGUUGUGGCUCAGCAGAAACAAACAGUACUAGUAUCCAUGAGGAAGCAGGUUCAAUUCCUGUCCUCGCUCAGUGGGUUAUGGAUCCAGCAUCGCCAUGGGCUGUGGUGUAGGUUGCAGACACGGCUUAGGUUUGGUGUUGCUGUGGCUGUGGUGUAGGUCGGCAGCUGAGGCUCCAAUUCGACCCCUAGCCUGGGAACCUCCAUAUGCCAUGAGUAUGGCCCUAAAAAGAUAAAUCCGCAUAUGCAACCUGUCUUGCAGAUCGAGGCAACGCUAGAUCCUUAACCCACUGAGUGAAGCCAGGGAUCGAACCUGCAUCUUCAUGGAUCCUAGUCAAGUUCUUAACUCACUGAGCCACAAUGGGAACUCCUUAACUUCAUUUUCAACCCUUGUCCCUCCUCAAGAGAAUGAAGGGUAGGGCUGACAAUUCCAAGCUUUUAGUCCUGGUUUCUUUCCGGUGGCCACCCCUCAUUCAGGAGCCCUUCAGAAGCCCACUCGGAGAAACGUCAUUAGAACAAAAUGUAUUCCUAUCACCCAGCAAAUUGCAGGGGUUUCAGAGGCCCUGGCUUGGGAAUCAGGGGCAGAGACCAAUAUUUUUUUAUUAUUUCACAGCCUAGAUGACCCCUCCCCCAAGAAUGCCUCUGUGGGAGAAAGAGCUCCUUGAACCGUGAUUACUUUCUUGAUGGUCCCACAGUGUCAGUGAACUGUGAUGAGGGCAGGAUGGGGAAGAAAGAGGCCAGGGAGUGGGUGAUGCUGGACCAGUCACUUUAGACUAUUCUCUCUCUGCUCCAUUUCCAUCCCUAUUCCUCACCUUCCAGUCACCCACUGAAACACCUCUAGGGGUCAGGGACAGCACGGACCCUAGGAGGGUCCCUGAAACACCACUCCUGGCCACCCUGCACUGCUCUUCACCAAAGGGCAGCUCUCGAUGGACAAGAAAAGGCCCAGACUAUUGCAAUCCAGUCUCUGUAAAAAUAUCCCGGAAGAAGUUCUCUCCAAACUUCUGUUGAGGCUCCUUCCUUUAGACGUGAUCGAUGGCGCCUUUUUCUUGGCUGAAAUUCAAAGAAACCUCUAACACGAAUGAGGAAACACUUUCAAUCACUUUGCAAUCCACAGCUUGUCUCUCCUGCUUCUCUAAGGUUAUUGCAUUAUAUUUAGAAUGUUUACUUAAAAAGUGUGUAGGGCUGACCGGAGCUGAAUCUCUGUGUCUUUCAUUAGAACACAUCCACAUUUUCUAGCACUGGGGGCCACUGGCAGGAUGCUAAAAAUAGUCCACCGAAUCCUCUCCUCCACCAGAAGGAUGGAGAAAACAGAAGAAGAGAGAAAACAGAAACUCCCUCUUGACCCCUCUCCCUGAAUUCCUCCUGCAACGGAGUGAAGGUUUUGCUCCAGGAAUAAAAGUUCUUUGCCUUGAAAUGAGGGCUAACAAGAAGCUGGCACCUUCAGUCUGUUUCUGUGAAGCCAAAGGUGACAUGAGUGUUCUCGUCACACACUUGCUUUAAAACGCUAGCAACUUGACAUUACUUGCAGGACAGAGGCUGGAUGUCCUGCAUUUCAUUUCUGGGUUGCUUUUUAAUCAGUUCCAAUCACCCUGCGUUUCCCCUUCUGUUCUUGAAUUUUCACUUUCAGACUCAUCUCAUCAGUGUCCCCCAAUUCUUGCUGUUUUUCUGGUCCUUUGAUCACACUACUCUUUUCCAAACACCCGACUCUUAUAAACCGGUUUGGUUCAGCUCAUCUUUCCUGGAAGAACACCAAGCUCCCCUUCCAGAAAAGCCUGCCCUGACUUCCCAAAUUAUGAAGAAAUUUCCAGCCUCCUGCAGGACUCGACAGCAGUCUGCUCUUUCUGACGCUUAGCAAAUGAGUCUUACACAGGUAAUUUAUCUUUUAGAUGUGUGCAAGUUUUAUUUUCUUAAUAUCUUGCAAACUUCUGGGAAUCCAAUUGUGUGUUUUAGUCUCUGUAUCUGAUGUAGCCAUUGACAAACAGUAGGUGCUUAAUUAGUGUUUAAGGAUUGCUUUAGGAAUCCUUGCUCUGUUUCCAUAGGGUGAAUUGAACAUACAUAUCAGCCAGGCCAAGGGGAGAACUCUCCAGGGUUUUUGUAAAGUGGUGCUUGAUAAAUGUUCCUUUUCCCCUAAAAUGCUUGUAGAGGGAUGUGAUGGGUGUUGGGAGGAGGAAGGUCACCUCUGUGGUUUAAAAAGAAAAAGAAAGAUAUUUCUUUGUACAGUAUCCUCACUGAGUCACAAGACCCUUGAACAUAUUAAAGGUGCUCAGAAAUCCUGCAGUAAAGAAAGCUCUUUUAUUUUGUUGAGUUUACCAUCUCCCAAAUUAAGUUGACUGUGGUACUCUUUUUAUUUUCAUUUUUCUGAGAAGUAAAUGACCUUUCGCAUCCACAAACACUAAAUGUCUCAGUCAGCUCGCUGGUUUAAACAACAGAAAUUUAUUUCUCACAGGUCAGGAGGCUGGGAGUCCAAGAUCAAGCCUCCAGCAUGGUUGGGUUUUUAGAAAGAGCCCUCUUCCUGGCUUAUAGAAGGCCAGCUUCUCGCUUUGUCCUCACCUGACAGAGAGAAAGAGAGCUCUGGUCUCUCUUCCUCUUCUUUUAAGGACCCUAAUUCCACCCCCAGGAUUUCAUUUAAAUCUAAUUGGCUUCCAAAUCAACCCCCCGCCCCUGCCCGCUGCCGCCGCACCAAAAAAAUACCAUCACAUCAGGGGAUAGGGUUUUGAUUUCUGAAUGUGGGGGAAGGGUGGCCCAAACUUUCAGUCCACAACACAAAACCUCUGUCGAACACAUUUUGAAAGAAUCUUCUUCCUCUCAGGCUUUCCAGCUACCUUCCCUCCAAGCCACACUUUCAGUGAGCUUUUCUCAUCUGUGACUGACAUGGUCUCUUGGGUAAUUGGAUUUCAAUACUCUGUGAAGGGUUUAUUAUUUUGCCCAGUUUGCACUCUGAACAAGUGCCUCCCAUUUCUGAGGUUCUGUUUUGCAUCCUUUUCCGUAGGUCCGAAUGAGGAUCAGGGCAUCAAUCAAUAUUUCUGGUAACUGAGGUAACCACAAGACGUAAAGUAGACAAUUUUUUGUUCUCCUGCCCUAUGUGAACAUUUUAGAGGUUUUCCUAGUCCAAUCGGAUUUUUAAAAAACACACAUGAAGUAAUGAAGUACUUGGAAAGCGAGUAAUAUGCCCACAAGUUGGGGUAAAGUUGGAGGUAAAUCCAAGACUUCUGGCUGCCAGGUAAGUGGCCUUUUCCAUACCUCUCUCUAACUUCUCAAUCGUGUGGCAUUGCCCAAGUCUGAAAUUUUCCUUAAUCUCUUGAAGUCAGCUUAGAUCAACCCAAACAGGAAAGAAAGUUACAUCUCAUUUCUGGUAAUCUGUACAAGAGGUUUCUGUACUGGGUUCCCUGUAACCAGACCCUUCGAUUCUUCUUUGCAAGGAACACUCUUCCUUCCCCCUCAAUCUGCUCGGCCUCCUGUGGGUGUUUCCAAGGCAAAGUCCCUUGAAAAAGGUGGCACUCAAGACAAAACCCAGUUCUCCAGAUGUGACCAGACUUGACAAAAUGCAGUGGGGCUCUUCCUGCUCCCUUACCCCAGGCCCACUGCUUCUCUUGCUGUGGGAGAAGGGUGUUACUCUUAGUGGAUCCAGAUAUUCUUUUCAUUAUGCUUUUGCCUGCCUCCAGACCUACUUGCUAUCUCUUAGCCUGGGGUUUGCUUUUUCUUUUUUUUUCUUUUCAUAGCUACACCUGUGGCAUAUGGAAGUUCCAGGGCCAGGGGUCAAAUCAGAGCUUCAGCUGCAGACUUACCCACAGCCACAACAACAAUGGAUCCAAGCCACAUCUGUGACCUGCACCAUGGCUGUGGCAACACCAGAUGCUUAACCCACUGAGCAAAACCAGGGGUCAAACCUGCAUCCUCACAGAGACAGCAUUUGGGUCCUUAACCCCCUGAGCCACAAUGGGAACUCUUAACCUGGGGUUUUGAGCCUUCCCACCAUUUGGUUCCUCUCCAAUUUAAUUUAUAACAUCUUUUGCUACAUCCCAGCUUUUGUCCUCUUGUCAGUCAAGCCUGCCUUACAUUUCCCUGUAUCUGCUUCUGCUUCAC